CCGCUCUUCUUUUCCUCCUUCGGCUCCUCUCGCGCUCUUUCUUCGGCGUCUUGGCUCAGCGCGCUGCCGGUGCUGGUAGAGAUCCAGAGGGUGAUGAAAUUAUGUUGGGAUCAAGGAAGAAACUUGGACAGUAGUCUAAAAGUAACACCUUUUAGAGUCCAAUCAGUGGAUAUCAGUUGAAUGAAUAUCUGCCAACUUGAAGGAAUAUCUGCCAACUCUGAACAGUUACGGCUUCAGAGAAGACAUUUCUAACACACCCCACCCUCUGAAUCAUUGGAUCUGUCUCCAUUCUUUCGGCUUGAAGAAUGUUUUAAAGAAUGUCAAGAAAUAACAGAUCUGCAG
Fukomys damarensis (Damara mole-rat) is the source of this 342-nucleotide long non-coding RNA. RefSeq lists it as uncharacterized. Lineage: Eukaryota; Metazoa; Chordata; Mammalia; Rodentia; Bathyergidae. The transcript is spliced from 4 exons. The record is from RefSeq and is a predicted model, not a curated record.